RNAcentral lists this transfer RNA (76 nucleotides) under Candidatus Woesearchaeota archaeon. RNAcentral's name for it is "tRNA-Met". It matches the Rfam family "tRNA". Rfam says of the family: Transfer RNA (tRNA) molecules are approximately 80 nucleotides in length. Their secondary structure includes four short double-helical elements and three loops (D, anti-codon, and T loops). The record is from RNAcentral. Lineage: Archaea; Nanobdellati; Candidatus Woesearchaeota.
GCCGCUGUAGCUCAGCCUGGUCCAGAGCGCUAGACUCAUAAUCUAGAGGUCCGGGGUUCAGAUCCCCGCAGCGGCA